This 498-nucleotide ribosomal RNA is filed under the name uncultured bacterium. RNAcentral describes it as "bacterial SSU rRNA". It matches the Rfam family "Bacterial small subunit ribosomal RNA", at positions 501 to 1000 of the family's 1533-position model. The record is from RNAcentral.
CUACGUGCCAGCAGCCGCGGUAAUACGGAGGGUGCGAGCGUUAAUCGGAAUAACUGGGCGUAAAGGGCACGCAGGCGGCUAUUUAAGUGAGGUGUGAAAUCCCCGGGCUUAACCUGGGAAUUGCAUUUCAGACUGGGUAGCUAGAGUACUUUAGGGAGGGGUAGAAUUCCACGUGUAGCGGUGAAAUGCGUAGAGAUGUGGAGGAAUACCGAAGGCGAAGGCAGCCCCUUGGGAAUGUACUGACGCUCAUGUGCGAAAGCGUGGGGAGCAAACAGGAUUAGAUACCCUGGUAGUCCACGCUGUAAACGCUGUCGAUUUGGGGAUUGGGCUUUAAGCUUGGUGCCCGUAGCUAACGUGAUAAAUCGACCGCCUGGGGAGUACGGCCGCAAGGUUAAAACUCAAAUGAAUUGACGGGGGCCCGCACAAGCGGUGGAGCAUGUGGUUUAAUUCGAUGCAACGCGAAGAACCUUACCUACUCUUGACAUCCAGAGAACAUUC